CGCUGGCGGCGUGCUUAACACAUGCAAGUCAACGGGGUAGCAAUACCUAGUGGCGAACGGGUGAGUAACGCGUAGAUAACCUGCCUUUAAGUUGGGGACAACAACUCGAAAGGGUUGCUAAUACCGAAUGUUGUUGGAGGUUCGCAUGAAUUUUCAACUAAAGAUUUAUCGCUUAAAGAGGGGUCUGCGUCCGAUUAGGUAGUAGGUGAGGUAACGGCUUACCUAGCCGACGAUCGGUAACCGGUCUGAGAGGAUGAACGGUCACAUUGGGACUGAGACACGGCCCAGACUCCUACGGGGGGCAGCAGUGGGGAAUAUUCCACAAUGGGGGGAACCCUGAUGGAGCGACGCCGCGUGAAAAUGAAGAAGGGCUUCGGCUCGUAAAGUUCUUUUGCAGUUGACGAAUGGUCUAUUGGAUAGGCAGAGACGGUAAACUGCGAAUAAGCCACGGCUAACUACGUGCCAGCAGCGGC
RNAcentral lists this ribosomal RNA (473 nucleotides) under uncultured bacterium. RNAcentral's name for it is "bacterial SSU rRNA". It matches the Rfam family "Bacterial small subunit ribosomal RNA", at positions 34 to 518 of the family's 1533-position model. The record is from RNAcentral.